AGGGUUCGAUUCUGGCUCAGGAUGAACGCUAGCGGCAGGCCUAAUACGAUGCAAGUCGGACGGGAGUCCCUUCGGGGGACGAGAGUGGCGGACGGGUGCGCAACGCGUAUGCAACCACCCCGACCCGGGGCAUAGCCGGUGGAAACGCCGGGUAAUGCGCCAUGAGCACGAGCUGGGGCAUCCCAGAAUGUGCAAAGCGAGAGCGGGACGGGACGGGCAUGCGUCCCAUUAGCUGGUGGCGGUGCAAUGGACCACCAAGGCUACGAUGGGUAGGGGAUCCUGAGAGGACGGUCCCCCACACUGGUACUGAGACACGGACCAGACUCCUGCGGGAGGCAGCAGUAAGGGAUAUUGGUCAAUGGUCGGAAGACUGAACCAGCCCAUGCCGCGUGAGGUAGGAAGGCCCUACGGGUCGUAAGCCGUCUUUUAUACGGGGACAAGGACGCGGUCGCGAACCGUGUUUGAGGGUACCGUAGGAAUAAGCGUCGGCUAACUCCGUGCCAGCAGCCGC
This 511-nucleotide ribosomal RNA is filed under the name uncultured bacterium. RNAcentral describes it as "bacterial SSU rRNA". It matches the Rfam family "Bacterial small subunit ribosomal RNA", at positions 8 to 518 of the family's 1533-position model. The record is from RNAcentral.